This 468-nucleotide ribosomal RNA is filed under the name uncultured bacterium. Its description in RNAcentral is "partial 16S ribosomal RNA". It matches the Rfam family "Bacterial small subunit ribosomal RNA", at positions 28 to 507 of the family's 1533-position model. The record is from RNAcentral.
GACGAACGCUGGCGGCGUGCUUAACACAUGCAAGUCGAACGGAAAGGCCCUGCUUUUGUGGGGUGCUCGAGUGGCGAACGGGUGAGUAACACGUGAGUAACCUGCCCUUGACUUUGGGAUAACUUCAGGAAACUGGGGCUAAUACCGGAUAGGAGCUCCUGCUGCAUGGUGGGGGUUGGAAAGUUUCGGCGGUUGGGGAUGGACUCGCGGCUUAUCAGCUUGUUGGUGGGGUAGUGGCUUACCAAGGCUUUGACGGGUAGCCGGCCUGAGAGGGUGACCGGCCACAUUGGGACUGAGAUACGGCCCAGACGCCUACGGGAGGCAGCAGUGGAGAAUAUUGCACAAUAGGCGGGAGCCUGAUGCAGCAGCGCCGCGUGCGGGAUGACGGGUUUCGGGUUGUAAACCGCUUUCGCCUGUGACGAAGCGUGAGUGACGGUAAUGGGUAAAGAAGCACCGGCUAACUACGUG